GCCAGGCGCGGUGGUGAGUGCCUGUAGUCCCAGCUACAGGCUGGCUGAGGUGGGAGGAUCUCUUGAGCCCAGGAGUUCUGGGCUGUAGUGUGCUAUGCCGAUCAGGUGUCUGCAGUAAGUUCGGCAUUAAUAUGGUGACCUCCCGGGAAUAGGGGAUCACCAGGUUGCCUAAGGAGUGGUGAACUGGGCCAGGUCGGAAAUGGAGCAGGUCAAAACUCCUAUGCUGAUCAGUAGUGGGAUCACGCCUGUGAAUAGCCACUGCACUCCAGCCUGGGCAACAUAGGGAGACCAGGUCUCUU
This is an unclassified non-coding RNA of Callithrix jacchus (white-tufted-ear marmoset), 299 nucleotides long. It matches the Rfam family "Metazoan signal recognition particle RNA". Rfam says of the family: The signal recognition particle (SRP) is a universally conserved ribonucleoprotein. It is involved in the co-translational targeting of proteins to membranes. The record is from Ensembl. Lineage: Eukaryota; Metazoa; Chordata; Mammalia; Primates; Cebidae.